RNAcentral lists this ribosomal RNA (468 nucleotides) under uncultured bacterium. Its description in RNAcentral is "partial 16S ribosomal RNA". It matches the Rfam family "Bacterial small subunit ribosomal RNA", at positions 28 to 507 of the family's 1533-position model. The record is from RNAcentral.
GACGAACGCUGGCGGCGUGCUUAACACAUGCAAGUCGAACGGAAAGGCCCUGCUUUUGUGGGGUGCUCGAGUGGCGAACGGGUGAGUAACACGUGAGUAACCUGCCCUUGACUUUGGGAUAACUUCAGGAAACUGGGGCUAAUACCGGAUAGGAGCUCCUGCUGCAUGGUGGGGGUUGGAAAGUUUCGGCGGUUGGGGAUGGACUCGCGGCUUAUCAGCUUGUUGGUGGGGUAGUGGCUUACCAAGGCUUUGACGGGUAGCCGGCCUGAGAGGGUGACCGGCCACAUUGGGACUGAGAUACGGCCCAGACUCCUACGGGAGGCAGAAGGGGGGAAUAUGGCACAAUGGGCGGAAGCCUGAUGCAGCAACGCCGCGUGCGGGAUGACGGCCUUCGGGUUGUAAACCGCUUUCGCCUGUGACGAAGCGUGAGUGACGGUAAUGGGUAAAGAAGCACCGGCUAACUACGUG